This 1875-nucleotide long non-coding RNA is filed under the name Gossypium barbadense (sea-island cotton). RNAcentral describes it as "long non-coding RNA (GBAR_LNC006476)". The record is from RNAcentral. Lineage: Eukaryota; Viridiplantae; Streptophyta; Magnoliopsida; Malvales; Malvaceae.
CUCAAAACACCCUUUAGGUGUUUCUCUCUGCCGCGUUUGCUACUUUCCAAUUUUCCUAGCUAAAUAGUUCUCUUUUAAAAAUCUCAAAUUCUUCUUGCAUUCCUGUGCUCCACUGAUCUGAAACUGUCAUGCUCUUUCUUUUUCAUUAACCCAUUUCAUUAUUCCACUUCACUUUGUUCUAAAUUUUCAGAUUUCCAUCUGGGCUUUUAUCUUCCCCUGUUUUUAUUUUGUGGGUUUUGCAGACAAGGUAAAUCUGUUUGUUUCAUUGUAAAAGUUGUUUACAACAUUAAUUUUCCUGAGAAACCUUUUCUAUGAGCAGUUUUUUUUCCUCCUUUGGAGAUGUAGUGUCGUGUUAAUUGUUUGCAAUUUUUUUAUUUUAGUUUUUCCUUAUUCAGAAGCUGCUGAAUUUGAGAUUAUUUGUUUUAAAGCUAGUGAUUUGAAAGAGUUUUUUUUUUUUAAUUUUAAAUUACAGCCAUGGAUUUGAAAAUUUCAGCUAUUUGCAUUACUUGGUAAUCUGAAGCUUUAUUGGGUUUCUUUAUGGCGAUUUUAGUUCUUUUGGUUGGUGGGUUCAAUUCAGAUUUGGUGGUUAAAUAUAUUUUGUUCUUAAAUUUUAGUUGAUAUAUUGCUUGUAUCUUAUAUUUCAAAGAUUGUAAGUCAAAAUUCCAAUUUUUUUUGUGGUCAUUUUUAAAGAAUUGGCUUCUCAUAUUGAGGAGCUGAUUGAUAGACUUGUGCUCUUGUGUUUUAAUUACUCUUAAUGAUUACUUACAAUGCAUUAUUGUAGGAAUAAAUGUAAUAUUGAACCAGCUAAACUCCUCUGAUUCAAUUUUCAGAGUAGUGAUGCAGUGCUCUCUCAGGUCUAGACCUGUUUGAGCACUGUGAUUGAGGAGCAUUACAAAUCGUUGUAUGCCUAAUGUUUGUUUCAUUUAUUUCUUACUUGUCUACUUGAAACUUUUUUUCUUCGCAUCAAUUCUUAGCUUCAGUUUUUUUCUAUAUUUUUUGUUUUCUGUUUGAACUUUGAAAGAUUUUGAUGUAGUUUAUCGAAGAGUUCGAUUUAUUGACUUUUCUUGAUCUGUUUAUUCUUUCUGCUGAACCGAUGUGUUGGAAAUUUUGGGUACUUAAGAGAUUUAGGCAUUUAGCAGACAUUUUACUUAUCUAACUUGUGUGGUAAUUAGGUGACAAGAUUGAAAAAUUAGUUAGGUAGUUAUUGGGUUUCGGUAUUAUGAAAUAUUAUUAGGUUCAAGUAUCAGUACCCAAAAUUGUGGUUAUCCUGCCCUUGCCAGUUCUUGGUUCAUCUGUAAGAGGCUGCUUGUGGUAGUAGUAGAGUCAUAUAUCUUUCUGUUUAUAUUUGAAUAUAGCCAUGAGUCAACUGAGUGCCAUAUCUAAUAGAUGUGCUUUGGGAGCCUUAGUUUGCUUCAGUGUUGGCAUUUUCUUGAAUUAUAUCAAAUUAAUUGAAUGAGCUCUUUGUCAUAAUCAUUAUAAUUAAUUUGAUGUUUCUCUCUAAAAUUUUUAUGACAUAACAAGUUUAUUCUAAAGAAUCUUGGGUGGCAAAUGGAACAGGAAAAAUCAACUAUACUAGAUUGCGGUCCAAGAACAAUUUGCAGAAGGCACAUAAUAACUGACUCCUACCUCUACGAAUGCUUGUGGGAGGCAUUGCAGCAGCGAAUAAGAAUAGGAUUGAUCAACAUGCAGUUGACACCGUAUAUGGUCUGAAUCUGAAUUCAAGUGUGAGUUUCAGAUAUUUUAUGUGCAAAAAAGUAUUAAGGUGCAAAACUACACCCAAUUUUGUAAACGUCUACUUACAUAUUUGCAUAUACUUAAUAAUAAUCUCGUGUCAACUAAUUAUUCUUUUUUUUAAUUUAAUUGUUUUGUUUUCAA